Molecule: ribosomal RNA, 322 nt
Filed under: uncultured Chloroflexota bacterium
Lineage: Bacteria; Bacillati; Chloroflexota
Description: bacterial SSU rRNA
Rfam family: Bacterial small subunit ribosomal RNA
Source: RNAcentral
GAUGAACGCUGGCGGCGUGCCUAAUACAUGUAAGUCGAACGGAGAGUAUAGUAAUAUAUUCUUAGUGGCGAACGGGUGAGUAACGCGUUGGUGACCUGCCCCGAAGAGGGGGAUAACAGCUCGAAAGGGCUGCUAAUACCCCAUGUGGUCGCUUGGGUUAGAGACCUUGCGACUAAAGGAGCAAUCCACUUCGGGAGGGGCCUGCGUCCCAUCAGCUAGUUGGUAGGGUAAUGGCCUACCAAGGCGACGACGGGUAGGGGACCUGAGAGGGUGAUCCCCCACACUGGCACUGAAAUACGGGCCAGACACCUACGGGUGGCAG